RNAcentral lists this ribosomal RNA (877 nucleotides) under Cellulomonas sp. 31. Its description in RNAcentral is "bacterial SSU rRNA". It matches the Rfam family "Bacterial small subunit ribosomal RNA", at positions 115 to 1001 of the family's 1533-position model. The record is from RNAcentral. Lineage: Bacteria; Bacillati; Actinomycetota; Actinomycetes; Micrococcales; Cellulomonadaceae.
ACGUGAGUAACCUGCCUCUGACUCUGGGAUAAGCCUUGGAAACGGGGUCUAAUACUGGAUACGNGACGCUCGGGCAUCCGAAGUGUCUGGAAAGAUUUAUCGGUCAGAGAUGGACUCGCGGCCUAUCAGCUUGUUGGUGGGGUAAUGGCCUACCAAGGCGACGACGGGUAGCCGGCCUGAGAGGGCGACCGGCCACACUGGGACUGAGACACGGCCCAGACUCCUACGGGAGGCAGCAGUGGGNNAAUAUUGCACAAUGGGCGCAAGCCUGAUGCAGCGACGCCGCGUGAGGGAUGACGGCCUUCGGGUUGUAAACCUCUUUCAGCAGGGAAGAAGCGAAAGUGACGGUACCUGCAGAAGAAGCGCCGGCUAACUACGUGCCAGCAGCCGCGGUAAUACGUAGGGCGCAAGCGUUGUCCGGAAUUAUUGGGCGUAAAGAGCUCGUAGGCGGUUUGUCGCGUCUGGUGUGAAAACUCAAGGCUCAACCUUGAGCUUGCAUCGGGUACGGGCAGACUAGAGUGCGGUAGGGGAGACUGGAAUUCCUGGUGUAGCGGUGGAAUGCGCAGAUAUCAGGAGGAACACCGAUGGCGAAGGCAGGUCUCUGGGCCGCAACUGACGCUGAGGAGCGAAAGCAUGGGGAGCGAACAGGAUUAGAUACCCUGGUAGUCCAUGCCGUAAACGUUGGGCACUAGGUGUGGGGCUCAUUCCACGAGUUCCGUGCCGCAGCAAACGCAUUAAGUGCCCCGCCUGGGGAGUACGGCCGCAAGGCUAAAACUCAAAGAAAUUGACGGGGGCCCGCACAAGCGGCGGAGCAUGCGGAUUAAUUCGAUGCAACGCGAAGAACCUUACCAAGGCUUGACAUACACCGGAAACUUCC